GGUGUUUAAGAGAAUCAAGAUGGUGGCGUAGGUAAAUGUGUUACUCGCAUCCUUCCACAACCAUAUAAAAAUUACAACUAAACUACAGAAAAACCAUCACUCAGAACCACCUGAAAUCUAGCUGGAUAUAAGUCCUAAAACUAGAAAUUUAAAGAAACCAUGUUGUCUGCUAGGAGAUGUGGACAUACGGAACGGCAUGGUCCCCCACACACAUGCACUAAAUAAAAAUCAGGAGGGAUAUCUUGGCUGCA
This is a long non-coding RNA of Myotis davidii, 251 nucleotides long. RefSeq lists it as uncharacterized. The record is from RefSeq and is a predicted model, not a curated record. NCBI's taxonomy places the organism in Eukaryota, Metazoa, Chordata, Mammalia, Chiroptera, Vespertilionidae. The transcript has 3 exons.